GGGUAAAAAAUUUUUUUUUUUAAAUCAUUAAUAGUUAAAAAAUUUAAUUUUAAGUAAAUAAAUUGAAUAAAUUAAAUGAAUUGUAUUUUAAAUGUAUUGUAAAAGAAAAAAUUAUUUUAUUAAAUUAAAGUUUUAUUUAUUUUACCUUUUGUAUCAGGGUUGAUUAAAAUUUUUUAGUUAAAAGUAAAAAUUUCGAAAUUAAUAGAGAUAAAAUUUUAAAAAGUUAAAGUAAUAAAUUUAUUUAAAAUAAAAUUUUUGUAAUUAAAUGUUAAUCGAAAUUAAUAAUAUCUAAUUUUUUAAUAAAUAAAUUUAAUUUAUAAUUUUUUAUAUACAUGUUAUAUUAUAAAUAUAUAAAUGUAAAUAAAAAUUUAAAUAUUUUAAGGGAUGAACUUUAAAAUUUAAUUAAAAAUAUAUAUUAAUAUGUAAUUAAUUUAUAGAAUAUAAUUUAAAAUUUUAAUUUUUAGAAAAAAUGUAAUUAUUUAUUUGGAAGUUAUUAAUAUUAAUUUUUAAUAUAUUUUAAUUUAUAUAUUAAAAUAUAAUUAUAAAUAUUUUUUAAUUAUUAAUAAUGAUUAAAUUAGUAAAAAAAUUUCGUAUUUAUGUAAUAAAUUUUUGUUAUUAAAUUAAUUUUAAUGAAUUAAGCAAAAAAUUUAUAUUUACCUGUUUAUUAAAAACAUGUCUUUAAAGUUUAUUUAUUUAAAGUCUAUUCUGCUCAAUGAAAAUUUUAAAUAGCUGCAAUAUUUUUGAUUGUACUAAGGUAGCGUAAUAAAAAGUUUUUUAAUUGAAAAAUUGUAUGAAAGAUUAUAUAAGAUAUAUACUUUAUUAAAAUUAAAAUUUUAAAAUUUAUUUAUAAGUAAAAAAUCUUAUUAAAUUUUAAUAGACGAGAAGCCCCUAUAAAACUUUAUAAAUAAUAUUGAUUUAGAUUAAUAUUAUUGAUUUAAAUUAAAUUAUUUAUUAUAUUGGGGAAAUGAAAAAAUAGUUUAAUUUUUUUAUAAAUAAUUAUAUAGAUAUAUAAAAAUUUAGAAAGAGUGUUUAAUUAAAAUUAUUAGAUUAAGUUACUUUAGGGAUAACAGCAUAAUAUUUUUAGAAAGUUCUUAUUGAUAAAAAUGUUUAUGACCUCGGUGUUGAAUUAAAAUAAAUGUUAAAAGGAGAUUUUUAAUUAUUAAGUCUGUUCGACUUUUAAAAUUUUACAUGAUUUGAGUUAAAAUCGGUGUAAGCCAGAUUGGUUUCUAUCUUUAAAAUAUAAAUUUAAUAUUUGUACGAAAGGACUUUAUUAUUAGUUAAUUAGAUAAUUUUUAAAAUUAAAUAAAGAUAAGUAU
This 1316-nucleotide ribosomal RNA is filed under the name Leptopilina syphax. RNAcentral describes it as "16S ribosomal RNA". Lineage: Eukaryota; Metazoa; Arthropoda; Insecta; Hymenoptera; Figitidae. The record is from RNAcentral.